This 508-nucleotide ribosomal RNA is filed under the name uncultured bacterium. Its description in RNAcentral is "partial 16S ribosomal RNA". It matches the Rfam family "Bacterial small subunit ribosomal RNA", at positions 30 to 523 of the family's 1533-position model. The record is from RNAcentral.
AUUGAACGCUGGCGGCAUGCCUAACACAUGCAAGUCGAACGGCAGCACGACCUAGCUUGCUAGGUUGGUGGCGAGUGGCGCACGGGUGAGUAAUGCGUAGGAAUAUACCUUAAAGUGGGGGACAACCUGGGGAAACUCAGGCUAAUACCGCAUGAGCUCUAAGGAGGAAAGCUGGGGACCUUUCGGGGCCUGGCGCUUUAAGAAUAGCUUACGUCCGAUUAGUUAGUUGGUGGGGUAAAGGCUUACCAAGACGAUGAUCGGUAGCUGGUCUGAGAGGAUGAUCAGCCACACUGGGACUGAGACACGGCCCAGACUCCUACGGGAGGCAGCAGUGGGGAAUAUUGGACAAUGGGGGAAACCCUGAUCCAGCGAUGCCGCGUGUGUGAAGAAGGCCUGCGGGUUGUAAAGCACUUUCGGUGGGGAGGAGGACUUAUAGGUUAAGAGCUAAUGAGUUGGAUGUUACCCACAUGAGAGGCACCGGCUAACUCCGUGCCAGCCGCCGCCGUAA